RNAcentral lists this ribosomal RNA (471 nucleotides) under Faucicola osloensis. Its description in RNAcentral is "bacterial SSU rRNA". It matches the Rfam family "Bacterial small subunit ribosomal RNA", at positions 30 to 500 of the family's 1533-position model. The record is from RNAcentral. Lineage: Bacteria; Pseudomonadati; Pseudomonadota; Gammaproteobacteria; Moraxellales; Moraxellaceae.
AUUGAACGCUGGCGGCAGGCUUAACACAUGCAAGUCGAACGAUGAUUUCCCAGCUUGCUGGGAAUGAUUAGUGGCGGACGGGUGAGUAACAUUUAGGAAUCUGCCUAGUAGUGGGGGAUAGCUCGGGGAAACUCGAAUUAAUACCGCAUACGACUACGGGUGAAAGGGGGCGCAAGCUCUUGCUAUUAGAUGAGCCUAAAUCAGAUUAGCUAGUUGGUGGGGUAAAGGCCCACCAAGGCGACGAUCUGUAACUGGUCUGAGAGGAUGAUCAGUCACACCGGAACUGAGACACGGUCCGGACUCCUACGGGAGGCAGCAGUGGGGAAUAUUGGACAAUGGGGGCAACCCUGAUCCAGCCAUGCCGCGUGUGUGAAGAAGGCCUUUUGGUUGUAAAGCACUUUAAGCAGGGAGGAGAGGCUAAUGGUUAAUACCCAUUAGAUUAGACGUUACCUGCAGAAUAAGCACCGCUAA